AUCCCUUCUCGGCCUUUUGGCUAAGAUCAAGUGUAGUAUCGAGCACAGAAUCUUUCCUUUUACCCUGU
RNAcentral lists this small nuclear RNA (68 nucleotides) under Cervus hanglu yarkandensis (Yarkand deer). Its description in RNAcentral is "U2 spliceosomal RNA (ENSCHYG00000015830.1)". It matches the Rfam family "U2 spliceosomal RNA", at positions 1 to 100 of the family's 192-position model. Rfam says of the family: U2 is a small nuclear RNA (snRNA) component of the spliceosome (involved in pre-mRNA splicing). The record is from Rfam by way of RNAcentral. Lineage: Eukaryota; Metazoa; Chordata; Mammalia; Artiodactyla; Cervidae.